RNAcentral lists this transfer RNA (64 nucleotides) under Rossia sp. GS-2021. RNAcentral's name for it is "tRNA-Thr". It matches the Rfam family "tRNA". Rfam says of the family: Transfer RNA (tRNA) molecules are approximately 80 nucleotides in length. Their secondary structure includes four short double-helical elements and three loops (D, anti-codon, and T loops). Further hydrogen bonds mediate the characteristic L-shaped molecular structure. tRNAs have two regions of fundamental functional importance: the anti-codon, which is responsible for specific mRNA codon recognition, and the 3' end, to which the tRNAs corresponding amino acid is attached (by aminoacyl-tRNA synthetases). tRNAs cope with the degeneracy of the genetic code in two manners: having more than one tRNA (with a specific anti-codon) for a particular amino acid; and 'wobble' base-pairing, i.e. permitting non-standard base-pairing at the 3rd anti-codon position. The record is from RNAcentral. Lineage: Eukaryota; Metazoa; Mollusca; Cephalopoda; Sepiida; Sepiolidae.
GUUAUAAUAGUUUAAGUAAAACACUGGUCUUGUAAACCAAAAUUAGAUUUAUAUCUUUAUAACU